CAUACUCAGAGAGAGAAGGAGCAUUUGGGUAGUCCCGCCCGUGUUCUUCCUUCCCUUCUCACAGUGGCGCCUUUGACGACAAAAAAGACAGUCGUUUCCAGCUCAACCAACCUCUGCACC
Molecule: non-coding RNA, 120 nt
Filed under: Chromera velia
Lineage: Eukaryota; Chromeraceae
Source: RNAcentral